Notothenia coriiceps (black rockcod) is the source of this 152-nucleotide long non-coding RNA. RefSeq lists it as uncharacterized. The record is from RefSeq and is a predicted model, not a curated record. The transcript is spliced from 3 exons. NCBI's taxonomy places the organism in Eukaryota, Metazoa, Chordata, Actinopteri, Perciformes, Nototheniidae.
CAAAUCACAACUGCUGGAAAGACUGAGAGGGUCUAAAUGUGCGGUUCAAUUGGAUGAGUCCACUGAUGUGUCCGGCUCUGCGCGGCUCAUUGCACUGGCGCGAGAGGAGAGGGAGAGCCGCAGAAUGUGACAACAUCAACAGAUAGAAUGCA